This 521-nucleotide ribosomal RNA is filed under the name uncultured bacterium. RNAcentral's name for it is "bacterial SSU rRNA". It matches the Rfam family "Bacterial small subunit ribosomal RNA", at positions 988 to 1509 of the family's 1533-position model. The record is from RNAcentral.
CCAGAGAACUUUCCAGAGAUGGAUUGGUGCCUUCGGGAACUCUGAGACAGGUGCUGCAUGGCUGUCGUCAGCUCGUGUUGUGAAAUGUUGGGUUAAGUCCCGCAACGAGCGCAACCCUUAUCCUUUGUUGCCAGCGGUCCGGCCGGGAACUCAAAGGAGACUGCCAGUGAUAAACUGGAGGAAGGUGGGGAUGACGUCAAGUCAUCAUGGCCCUUACGAGUAGGGCUACACACGUGCUACAAUGGCGCAUACAAAGAGAAGCGACCUCGCGAGAGCAAGCGGACCUCAUAAAGUGCGUCGUAGUCCGGAUUGGAGUCUGCAACUCGACUCCAUGAAGUCGGAAUCGCUAGUAAUCGUAGAUCAGAAUGCUACGGUGAAUACGUUCCCGGGCCUUGUACACACCGCCCGUCACACCAUGGGAGUGGGUUGCAAAAGAAGUAGGUAGCUUAACCUUCGGGAGGGCGCUUACCACUUUGUGAUUCAUGACUGGGGUGAAGUCGUAACAAGGUAGGCGUAGUGCU